GCCACUAAUGGGAAGGGCGGGUGGAAG
This 27-nucleotide non-coding RNA is filed under the name Rattus norvegicus (Norway rat). Lineage: Eukaryota; Metazoa; Chordata; Mammalia; Rodentia; Muridae. The record is from RNAcentral.